RNAcentral lists this ribosomal RNA (469 nucleotides) under uncultured bacterium. Its description in RNAcentral is "partial 16S ribosomal RNA". It matches the Rfam family "Bacterial small subunit ribosomal RNA", at positions 27 to 507 of the family's 1533-position model. The record is from RNAcentral.
GGACGAACGCUGGCGGCGUGCUUAACACAUGCAAGUCGAACGGAAAGGCCCUGCUUUUGUGGGGUGCUCGAGUGGCGAACGGGUGAGUAACACGUGAGUAACCUGCCCUUGACUUUGGGAUAACUUCAGGAAACUGGGGCUAAUACCGGAUAGGAGCUCCUGCUGCAUGGUGGGGGUUGGAAAGUUUCGGCGGUUGGGGAUGGACUCGCGGCUUAUCAGCUUGUUGGUGGGGUAGUGGCUUACCAAGGCUUUGACGGGUAGCCGGCCUGAGAGGGUGACCGGCCACAUUGGGACUGAGAUACGGCCCAGACUCCUACGGGAGGCAGCAGUGGGGAAUAUUGCACAAUGGGCGGAAGCCUGAUGCAGCAACGCCGCGUGCGGGAUGACGGCCUUCGGGUUGUAAACCGCUUUCGCCUGUGACGAAGCGUGAGUGGCGGUAAUGGGUAAAGAAGCACCGGCUAACUACGUG